This 495-nucleotide ribosomal RNA is filed under the name uncultured bacterium. Its description in RNAcentral is "partial 16S ribosomal RNA". It matches the Rfam family "Bacterial small subunit ribosomal RNA", at positions 29 to 507 of the family's 1533-position model. The record is from RNAcentral.
AUGAACGCUGGCGGCGUGCCUAAUACAUGCAAGUCGAGCGAACGGACGAGAAGCUUGCUUCUCUGAUGUUAGCGGCGGACGGGUGAGUAACACGUGGAUAACCUACCUAUAAGACUGGGAUAACUUCGGGAAACCGGAGCUAAUACCGGAUAAUAUUUUGAACCGCAUGGUUCAAAAGUGAAAGACGGUCUUGCUGUCACUUAUAGAUGGAUCCGCGCUGCAUUAGCUAGUUGGUAAGGUAACGGCUUACCAAGGCAACGAUGCAUAGCCGACCUGAGAGGGUGAUCGGCCACACUGGAACUGAGACACGGUCCAGACUCCUACGGGAGGCAGCAGUAGGGAAUCUUCCGCAAUGGGCGAAAGCCUGACGGAGCAACGCCGCGUGAGUGAUGAAGGUCUUCGGAUCGUAAACUCUGUUAUUAGGGAAGAACAUAUGUGUAAGUAACUGUGCACAUCUUGACGGUACCUAAUCAGAAAGCCACGGCUAACUACGUG